Nycticebus coucang (slow loris) is the source of this 107-nucleotide small nuclear RNA. The record is from RefSeq and is a predicted model, not a curated record. NCBI's taxonomy places the organism in Eukaryota, Metazoa, Chordata, Mammalia, Primates, Lorisidae.
GUGCCAGUUAUUAUAGUACAUAUACUAAAAUUGGCAUAAUAUAGAGAAAAUUAGCAUGACUUAUGUAAAAUAAUUACAUGAAAAUUGAUGAAAUGUAUCACAUUUCU